CAGUCGCCGCGGUAAUACGAAGGGUGCAAGCGUUACUUGGAAUUACUGGGCGUAAAGCGUGCGUAGGUGGUGGUUUAAGUCCGUUGUGAAAGCCCUGGGCUCAACCUGGGAAUUGCAGUGGAUACUGGGUCACUAGAGUGUGGUAGAGGAUAGUGGAAUUUCCGGUGUAGCAGUGAAAUGCGUAGAGAUCGGAAGGAACAUCUGUGGCGAAGGCGACUAUCUGGGCCAACACUGACACUGAGGCACGAAAGCGUGGGGAGCAAACAGGAUUAGAUACCCCAGUAGUCCCUGUCUCUUAUAC
RNAcentral lists this ribosomal RNA (301 nucleotides) under uncultured bacterium. Its description in RNAcentral is "partial 16S ribosomal RNA". It matches the Rfam family "Bacterial small subunit ribosomal RNA", at positions 509 to 807 of the family's 1533-position model. The record is from RNAcentral.